ACCUCCACUCUAUCUCUCUCAAUCUAGUAGAAACUAGAAGAUCUAUUUCUACUUUACAUUGGUUGCUAAGCCUAAAAAGAAAUAUUAUUUAGAGAAGAGGUUUUCCUUCGAGGGCACCCCUCAAUCUCUAUGAUAAUUUCUUGUCUCUUCCAGGGGCCAGGGGGCCUUGCUUAUAUAGUCCUCCCCUUCUAUGCGUUUUUGGGUCGAUAGGCGAGGUGGUACUAUGUUUUUCUUGAUCCAAUAGGUCGGUGGAAUAUCCCGAGCGAAAGAGUCCUGAUUUGGCUCCAACAGGGGGGCGGGCGCCCAGGCUACGAGGGCGGGCGCCCUGGGCCUGGCCCCUUUCGGGCUCCGCUUCCUUCCCGUGGCUUCUGGAGUCUUCUAGAUGGUAGAAAAUUGCGCGGUGGGUUGAUAUCUCUAUGUAAUCCCGACAUGUGGGCCUUUCUUCCUUAUUUCAUGAUAACCCCCUGCAGAAAUAGACAAACACCAAAACUCGUGGAAUUCUGUCAAAUAAAACCCUAAGUCUAGAUGUUGAUUUCAUUUGGAUCCUUUUCUUUGUUCAUUUGAUAAUUAAAUUUGAUACUUAAGGACCGUCAACAAACUCCCCCAAGCUUACCUCUUGCUCGUCCCUGAGCAAGGAUGAACUCAAGAGUUUCUGCAGUGGUUUCAUUUCUUAGAAGUACACACGCAUUUAAGCAAGAUCUCAUCUCUGAGUUAGAAUAAACUGUUAAGACAUAAAACUUACUUACUUUACCUACACCAUAGGACUUGUAACCGUCACUUCUGUCUUGAGUGGUUAAAAGAUAGCACAGUCUAGCCAAGUGCCAUGUCUCUUAUUCUUGAUUAGCUAUAGCUCUGGGGUUUUUGGAGAUUUUCAAAUAAAACUCAGAGAUUCCUUAUAUGACUCUCUCAGAUCUCUCUUUUGUGGUAUUUUUGGAUCCUUACCAAGGCAGUGAUGGUAUAUGCCUUCUCUCAAGAUAUGUAGUAUUUGUGGUAUGAAGCAUAGUGACAUUGUCUUCUCUCUCACCCUACUCUAAUAAGGCUUUAAUAUCUGAAGCUCAUAGGUGGGAGAUAAAGUAUACAUACUUACAAGACAUUUAUUGCAUAGUCAAACCAUGGAUCCAAAGUAACAAAUCAAUAAGCCAAAUCAAGAUGUGCAUGUGUGGCGAAUGAAUGGUGUAUGGUGAUGAUGGUGAUAACAAUGGUGAAAACAAUGGAGGUGGAAGUCUAAUUCUACUUUGCUCUUUGAGGGGAUACAUACCUUCCUUGCUUUUUGAAACUUUAUGAGGAGAAUGAGAUGCUCAUCUUUUUCUUUUCUCUCAGGUGGGUAUCUUGUACCCCUAAUUUCUAAUGUCGGACACUUGUCCAUUUUUACAUCUCGUCUCACUUUUUCUUUUCUUUCGAGGUUCCGAGCACUUGCUCCUUUUUAUUUCCUCGUAUUUCUUUUUUUUCUCUUCUUUUUUUUCAGAGCAUUCAUCUUUUGAGAUAAUAUAGCAAGUGGUAGUAACAAGAUAACUUGAGCAUUUAUUUCACAAGGGGAAACAGAAAUAUUUUUGGUUAUUCUCUCCCGGAUUAGGAGUAGAAUACUUUUGGGUGGUUUUGGAGAUGGAAAUGAGUGGAUAUAUGUGGAUGGUACUUCCGGAGUAGAAGUAGCAUGUAUGAGUGAACGUGCAAGUGAAUCUUGAUUUAACCACAUGACAAGCUCCUAAGGGUCUACACAGCUUGACCACACUCAAUGCUCAAAAGGAGUAAAUAGUAAAUGUGUGGCUCAAGGUCUAGCAAGCAUGUAUAUAUGGCUGUGGUAGGAAUUUAAACUCUCAUCAUACAGGAACUCAUCAUGUGUUAUUUUAAAGAUUUUUCAAAGAUAAAAUUCUCCAGAAUUCUAGCAUCUCUAGGAACAGAUGAACAGCAGCUCAACCUUCCCAUAUCGUAUCCGUUAACAACUUAGACUUCAGAUCAAGUUUUCAUCCCACAAGUUUAGGUCUAGAGCAAGCCUUAAAUUAUAACAGUUAUAUCUAAAUUUGAGAGAGAACUUCAAAUUUGCAAAUUAGGCAGAGCAACUAUUCAUCAUAUCCAUGCUUAAGUUUUAUUAGAUACCGAUUAGCAUAGCCACUUUAUUUAUUUAUUAAACACACUAAGCAAAAUAUAUAUAAGCAUAAAAUCUUUAUUUGGUUUUUCAUAGUUAUGUGUAUUUAUAUUCUAAUAUAGUAUAAGUAUAAAGAUAGAUAGAAAUACUUAUCGAGAUAAAUGGGGGUGCUCUCCCCCAAGCUGAAUUUUGACGUAAUUUCUCUUGAUGUAGCUAGCAGGUGGCAGAGGUGUGUUUGAAAGUCAGCAGUAUUUUGACAGCGAUUAGAAUGUCCUCCGUCUGCUAGUCUUCUUGAUUCUUAAAUUCUGUGGAGCUCAAAUAGACAACAAAGCUUGUGGAACUGGUUAAGUGUUAGCAUAAAUAUCUAGCCUUUAUCAUGUUGAGACUCCUUAAUAAAUAUUACUCCCUGUUUUUUUAUUUUUGUUUUUAUAAAGCAGAAAAAUAUUUAUUUUAUUUUUAUGCCACCACAGUGAAUGUACUUAUGGGUUUUAUGCCACUCGUCUACUCACAUGGGGCUUACAGUUUUUUUCACAUUUUUAUUUUCUUUCUAGGAUAAUACGAACAUGAUUAACUAAGUAAACUAUUUGAAAUAAUUAAAAGGGAAAGGAUAACUACCAAGUUUACCUCUUGGCAAGGCGUUCGGUGUUUUUAAGUCCUCCGAGCGGGACUCUCCAUUUUCUUAAUCGUCCUGGGAUUCACUGGAUGACGUAGUCGGUGAUUCCGGUGGCGCCUCCUCUUCGUGUGUAACUAUAUUCUCUCUCCACACCUGACUCGGUGCUACGGUCUCCUCAGGACAGUUAUGUUCAAGUCGUAUGUCUUCAGUCCUUAUCACUUCUCCUUCGUAGUCUACCCAUCCGUCCUUGAUGAUUUGCCUCCUCUGGUUGCGGUUGCGAUGUCUUCUUCUUGUCCUGACCUGCUUAGAGUCUUCAACUAUAUAGUUAGGGUCAGUAAAACAGCGGCAUACCUUCUCAGAGGAGAAGUGUAUGUGGACUUCUCCGGUUCCAAUAUAGAUGAUGGCUUUGAUAGUGCUGAGGAUCUGUCUUCCAAGGAUGGUGGGUGGAUCAUAUUCAUCUUCUCCCAUGUCAAUAACUUGAAAGUCAUCUAUAGCGGAAUGUAUAUUGGUUGUAGGGGCAUGGUUUCAUGCAGGAGCUGAUAAGUGACUACGGCCAUUAUGUUGACGUCAGAUCCGGUGUCGUAGAGUGUCUUCGGAAAAGAGUAUAUGUUGUUUGUGCAUUCGAUUCUUGGAACACCAGGGUCGUCCUUCUUGAUCAAGAAAGGUGACUUGAGUCGACGAUCUUGACCUCCUUGAGCUGCAGUGACCAUCUUAGCUGACUCGGUCCACAUUUGCUUGUUCCUGUUCCUCCUGUUGGUCCUCUUCCUUGGUUCAUGUCGGGAUUGCUCUGAAAUUUGUGGUCUUGUUCUUGAAGGAAAGUCUCCUUCUCUCCCUUGAUGUAGAAACUGAUCUUGGCAGUAUUAGCGUAGAUGACAGCUCUGGUGUUUAGGAAUGGCCUCCCUAAGAUGAUGGGUGCCCUCGCCUCAGUACCAGUCUCUAUCACCAUGAAGUCUGCUAGAGCAUACAAGGUACCAACUAGGACGCAGAGGUUCUUCAAUAUUUCCUUUUGGAAACUGAGUGUCCGAUCUGCAACCUUGGGCAUAAUGUUGACGCUCGAGCCAAAGUCGGAGAGUGCUUCUGGGAAGUCCACCAUGCCGAUGGAGAUCGGGAUGACGGGACGUCCUAGAUCACCUCUCUGAGUAAUUAGGCCUCUGUUGAUUCCAACCUUGAUGUUGUUGAGGACGGUUGUAGUAAUAGUUGUUAUUGUUGUUGAUGUAGUUCACGUCCUCAAGCAUCUUAGGGCAGUGAUUGCCUGAGCGUCCAGUAUCUCCAGUGUGUUUGUGCUCGUAGAUCCUAGUUCUUCACUUGGUGGAAUCUGGGAGUUGUAAAACUCCUUCAAAUUAUGCUCGAAGUGUUCCUGCUCAUAGAGACAAGGUAGAGAUCAAGUGCAUGGGCCCUGUUGGUGGAAAACACCAACAGAACCAAAAGUGUAUUUGUUCCUCUCUAACCUUAAGAAUAGUGAGCAAGACAAAGUUGAUGGAUCAUGAGUGUAGCAUUUGUCAGAUCAGAUGGCUCAACCUAAUGGAAAGAUAAUCUAUCUAUAUUUAUGUUUUGUUUAUAUCUUCCAAAGAUUGGAUGUGCAAUACUUUAGCUUAUAUGAUUAGGAGUGUGGGGUCACGAAGGUAGUACUAAGAACAAAGAUUAAAGGACUAAACAUGUUGAAUUAAUUGAGUUGGUUAAUUUGGAGUUAUAAAUCAUACAUGUUUGUCUCUUUAUUUAUGUGAAUGCCAGAACCAAGGAGGAGCUUAUAAAAGUGUUAGUCAAGUACCUUAAGAUGUUACCUUACUUGAAGAGUGAUGGUACAGUAUCACCUUGUGGAAGCUUUCCUUUCUUAGCGGUUGUGCAUCGUGUUUGUGGCACCCUCCAUGAAUCAUCUCUUAUGAGCUACGUCUUUCUUGUGCAAAUUGUUAAACUUCAUGUGUCACUUUCUUCAUCUCUAAUGAGUUUGCAUCUCAGGACUUCCCAGGUUGUUAUUGAAAGUUUUCCUACAGGGGUUAGUCCAACAAAAUAUACCAAUAUCUACUCAAGUAGUUUUUAGUUCAGUAACCAAACUAGACUCCAUGUCUAAUCAGAUUAAGGAAGGCUAUUUAACCUAAGCACCACGCUUAAUUUAAAUGCCAUUGGAAGUGUGACCAGUACUUCCAAACUAACACUUACUAGGAUAAACAAAGGUAGCAUGAUGGCUUUUAUAGAGAUCUACUCAAGUGGAGAUGAAGUAGUGUGAUUAGUAUUUAACAAAUGGAGCAUGUCUCAAAGGUAAGGACAACCAACAUAGCAACAUGGCAAAGGAUGUUUUAUGUAAAGUACUCCUCCAAGCUUGAAUUUUGCAAAAUUCAAUAUUGAAUGAAUUUAAUUUAAUGUUGCAUGAUGAUUGGUUGGGCAUACCUUGCGCUUGUCAUUCAUCCGAUCUUCUUGCUCCAAUCCUAGAAAGGUUAGUGACAAGAAUACCCGAAGAAAUAUUUCUACAAUUAUCUUUAUAUGCUCAAUACCCAAGGCAAUGUUGCAAAUAAUUAGAAGUGCUUGUUUUAGGACACUAAGCUUGUCCUUGGGGAACCAUCAAUUAACUCAACGAGAUCUGCAAUAUUUAUUAUAGACAUAUGCAUCGACAACCACCCUUUUAAAGUUUUUAUAAAUAGAAAAGAAGAGGGGGUUGGAGAUCUCAAAUGUGGUAAGGAUGGAGAGACAAAUUGAUUGGAGAGAUGUUUUAUAUGAGCAAGGACUGGGUGAGGUAUUUAUGAAAUAACUUCCAUGCUCACUGUUGUUUCUCUCAUUCUCAAACUCCAAGGAUGAUUCUUCAUGAAUGUUUAAAAUUCCUCUAGGAUUGUCUCUCAAGUUUGUUUUAUCUAUCCAUUCAAUGGUGACAGCACAUGGAUUUUUAAUGCCCUCUAGCCAUUGAUGUUGCUCUUCUCGAUCCUCCUUGUUAUGCAUGGGAUGUCUAGAGAGAUUCAUAUGAUUAUCGGGAGGUUUAAGAGAAAGAGCAUAGUAGAAUUUAUUAAGCUCAAGGAAGGUGUGGAUAGCCGAAUUAUGGGUUUGAAAUGUUUGGAAAUUGGCUAUUGAAACUUCCUUUCCUUGUCUGGGAGAUGAUUCCUUCUCUAUUUCUAAGAUUUUUCUAUGAAGACUAGUACAAGAAGGAUGUCCACGAAUGAAGACAUACCUUCCUUUACUAAUAGAUAAAGAAAGAAGGACUCUAGAAAAGGUUAUAUGAUUAAGACCAAUGUGAAAAUAUUUAGGAAAAACAUGGUCUUGUAGGGCUAGGUCUAAACCAGAAUUUAUAAAAGGAUUAAAAGAUUCCCUAGGUGUAGCUAAAAGUGCAUUAUCUUCUUGAUUAAAAGAUAGGACCUCGGCUAUAGAAAAGGGUUGGUUUUGACCUAUUGCAAUCAACUCCGGACACAGAUCAUAAUUAGGGGCAGGACGUGUUGACUCCCAUGGUCUAUGGCUGGUCUCCGAAGGUGCAAAGAAUUCAAUAAUAGGUAUGGACUUUAAGUUAUCCAUAAAGAUAAAAAGAUAAAAGAAUAAAAGUAUAAAAGUAUAAUACAAGAUAAUAGCAAGACUCAAAGUUAUCUCAGCAAACUGUCUUUCUCCCCGGCAACGGUGCCAGAAAUGCUUGUUGAUAUUUGGUAACGCAAAUAGAAAAUGAUCCGCAAGCGCACGGAUAUCGGUGAGCAUUUCACCCGAGAGGUUAUCCAGAGUUAUCGUAUUUAUAUUUUUACCACUGGGAGAAAGGGUGCAUCUGACUAACCAAAUCUAUUGCUACUACCCCUUUAGGCUACAAAGAAUGUCUCUCGAUGUGAGUGAUGUAUAGAGAAGACUGCAACCGUAGUCUCGUUCUAACCUUGGUAAGGAUGAUCUACUGUUCUAUUGGGGAGGCUCACGGAAUCUAGACAACAAAAAGGAGGUUCGACCUGCACCUAUAAACCUACCCGUCCUGCUAACGAGAUGUGAUCUGCAAAGGUAACUCGGAAAUGUCACGUUCCUUGCUACUACCACGGUCCAGCUAGUCAGGGGAUAUCUAUGAGUACCCUAGCCUAAACACCACGUUUACGCUAACAAGUGAUUACUCUAAUACUCAACUGGAAGAGGAUUAAAGUAAACUCAUAAACCAAAGAACAAUAAAACAAGAACUUACUAGUAUUAGAAGUCGAAUUACUGAAGAAUCUUAGAAGCAAGCCUCGGGUUAGGAGACUUGAUCCCGUAGGUACAACUCGGAGUAGACACCGACAGGCCGGCCUUCCUCCGAUCCACACCUCCACUCUAUCUCUCUCAAUCUAGUAGAAACUAGAAGAUCUAUUUCUACUUUACAUUGGUUGCUAAGCCUAAAAAGAAAUAUUAUUUAGAGAAGAGGUUUUCCUUCGAGGGCACCCUUCAAUCUCUAUGAUAAUUUCUUGUCUCUUCCAGGGGCCAGGGGGCCUUGCUUAUAUAGUCCUCCCCUUCUAUGCGUUUUUGGGUCGAUAGGCGAGGUGGUACUAUGUUUUUCUUGAUCCAAUAGGUCGGUGGAAUAUCCCGAGCGAAAGAGUCCUGAUUUGGCUCCAACAGGGGGGCGGGCGCCCAGGCUACCAGGGCGGGCGCCCUGGGCCUGGCCCCUUUCGGGCUCCGCUUCCUUCCCGUGGCUUCUGGAGUCUUCUAGAUGGUAGAAAAUUGUGCGGUGGGUUGAUAUCUCUAUGUAAUCCCGACAUGUGGGCCUUUCUUCCUUAUUUCAUGAUAACCCCAUGCAGAAAUAGACAAACACCAAAACUCGUGGAAUUCUGUCAGAUAAAACCCUAAGUCUAGAUGUUGAUUUCAUUUGGAUCCUUUUCUUUGUUUAUUUGAUAAUUAAAUUUGAUACUUAAGGACCGUCAACAAGAGAUCAAGCCCAAACUAGAAAAUUUACUAGCCUUAUUACAACAAGACACGGCUCAGCUAGUGGAUGACUCUGAUCAGGCCAAGGCUAUCUUGAAGACUCUCCGCGGCUAGAUUCCAGCCGAUACUGAGGAGAUGCUUUUUCAAGCUGCCCACCGGGAGAGCCGCCAACUUCAGUACCAAAAGGCCGUUCAGCGCCUUGCCGAUAGAGCCACUCAUACCUAGCUCAAAGAGGAGAUUCUACAAGUGAAGCACGCCACCGAUGAGAAGCAUAAGAGCAUCGGCAUUUUGCAUUCCUCAGGUGUCGAACUAAAACAGAGAAUCUUUGAUCUAUCGGCAAAGAGAGAGGCUCUGCUCGCUGAACUCAAACAAGUGGAGGAAGCUUUGACCCAGGCCCGACAGGAAGAAAGUCAACUGCCUAACGUGCUCAGAAAUCUUUAGCAAGAGAGGGAUGCCCAAGCUCGCAAGGCACUGCAAAUGAAGAAGAAACUGAAACUAGUAGGUUCGGCUGAUGAAGACACCAAAGAGAUAGAAGAAGCUAAUUAGAUCCGUCUACGUGCGAUAUUGGCCAUCCAAGCUCUGCUAAAUAUGUGAACUUCUCCAUCAGCAGCAUGUUUCGUUGGUUCUUUUGAGAACACUAGCAUUUGAUCCAGCCGAUAGGAUUGUUAUCGGCACUUAAUCUCCUUAUGCGUUGAUUCAAAUACACUAAUAUUUUGUCCAGCCGAUAGGAUUGUUAUCGGCACUUAAACGUUUCAUGCAUCGACCAAGAUACUAGGAUAGUAUCUUUUUAAGUAUUUUCCGUUUAAUGCUUUGGGAAAUUCAACUCCUUCGAGAGUCUCCAAAAUAUAUGCAUUGCCAGGAGCAGAUCGACUUAUCCGAUAAGGACCUUCCCAAUUAGGAGACCAUUUUCCAAAUUUUGAACUUUUAGUCCCAAUCGGUAGAAUCAAUUUCCAAACUAAAUCUCCAUCGACAAACUCUUUAGCUUUUACUUUCUUAUCAUACCACUUAGCUACUCUCUUUUUAUUCUCCUCUAUGCUGAUCAAAGCUUUCAACCGAUGCCCUGCCAAAUCCUCCAACUCAUCUUUCAUCAAAAUAGUAUAAUCAUCGGCAGUCAACUGAUCUUGAGAAAACAUUCACCUAGAACCAGUUUUAACCUCCCAAGGUAGUACCACAUCAUGCCCAUAUACCAAUUGAUAAGGUGACACUUUGGUUGCACCAUGACAUGCCAUCCGGUACGACCACAAGACUUCAUUUGACAGUGUAUGCCAUCGCCUAGGAUUUUCAUCAUUUUUUCACUUGAUGAGCUUAAUAAUUCCUUUGUUAGAAGCCUCAGCCUGCCGAUUAACUUGAGCAUAAUAAGGAGAAGAGUUUAACACUUUAAUCCCCAUACCAAUUGCGAAUUAAUCAAACUCCCUAAAUGUAAACAUGGUACCCUGAUCGGUAGUGAUUGUUUGAGGAAUACAAAAUUAGUAAACAAUAUGCUCCUUCACAAAAUCAAUCAUAUUAGCCGAUGUCACUUUCUUCAAAGGAAUAGCCUCAACCCACUUGGUGAAAUAAUCAGUGGCAACAAGGAUAAACUUAUGCCCUUUACUCGAUGGCGGAUAAAUUUGACCGAUGAGAUCAAUAGCCCAGCCCCAGAAUGGCCAAGGUUUAAUAAUAGGAUUCAUAGCUGAUGCGGGCGCCCUUUGAAUAUUUCCAAACUUCUGACAUCCUUGGCGUCCUUUGAAAUAUUUGAAGCAAUCCUCAAGAAUAGUCGGCCAGUAAUAUCCAUUCCUUCUAAUCAUCCACUUCAUUUUAAAAGUUGACUGAUGUGCUCCAUACACUCCUUCAUGGAUUUCACCCAUCAAAGUUUUGGAUUCAUCAUCACCAAGACAUUGAAGCAGAAUUCCGUCCACAGUACGAUAAUACAGUUCAUCAUCAAGGAGCACAUACUUGGUAGCUUGAAAUCUAAUAUGUCUUUCAACUUUCUUGGAGGGAUCUCUUAGGUAAUUAACAAUUUCUUUUCUCCGAUCAUCGACACUGAUUGCCGAACACCCCCAAGAUGGGUUGAUACCCCAAAGCAUGUUGAGCCAACCGAUUAGCUUCCUCAUUAUGUAAUCGGGGAAUAUGUUCUAAAUGGAAAUCCUUAAAUUCCUUUAAUAACUGUAAACAUCUUUCAUAAUAAGAUAUCUAAAUCUCACUUCGGCAUUCAUAAACCCAAGCCAACUGAUUUAUAACAAGUAUAGAAUCACCGAAGAUUUCAACUACAUCAGCAUGAACUCCCCUCAACAACUCUAAUCCUUUGACCAAAGCUUGGUACUUAGCCUGAUUAUUUAUUGAUGUGGCAACAAUCGGCAAAGAAAAUUCAUACUUCUUUCCUCGAGGAGAAAUCGACACUAUACCGAUGCCUGCCCCCUGAUGACACGUGGACCCAUCAAAGAAAAGCGCCCAAGGAGCAACUUCCAAAGAAUUCACCAAACCGCAAUGUUGAGUAACAAAAUUGGUCAUAAUUUGUCCCUUGACCGCUUUAGCCGAUUCAUAAUGUAGGUCAAACUCUGACAAUGCCAAUAUCCAUUUGUCGAUUCUACCACUCAUAAUCAGCAUUGACAACAUGUAUGUGACUACGUCAUCUUUGCAUAUAAUAAUACACUCGGCCGAUAGCAAAUAAUGCCUUAGUUUAGUACAAGAAAAGUACAGACAUAAGCAUAAUUUUUCAAUAGCCGAAUACCUCGUCUCAGCAUCUACCAAUCUCCUACUUAAAUAAUAAAUCACACGUUCUUUCCCCUCAAAUUCUUGAAUAAGAGCUGAACCGAUAACUGUAUCAUCGGUUGAUAAGUACAACGUGAAGGGCUUCCCAUGUUGUGGUGGAACCAACACUGGAGGAUUCGUCAAAUAACUUUUAAUCUCAUCUAACGCCAACUGUUGCUCUUUUCCCCACACAAACUUUUGAUCGGCUAUUUGCUUGAGCAAAGGACUGAAGGCCUUUAUCUUACCCGAUAAAUUAGAUAUAAAUCGCCUAAUAAAAUUGAUCUUGCCGAUCAGAGAUUGGAGCUCAAUCUUAUCAGCAGGAGCGACUAUCUUGUUGAUUGCAUCAAUAGACCUCCUACUAAUCUCAAUUCCUCUCUGAUGCACCAUGAAACCCAAAAACUGGCAUGCCGAUACACCAAACGCACAUUUAUUAGGAUUCAUCUUUAAACCAUGCUUCCUUGUGCACUCAAGUAUCUUCCAUAAAUUGGCUAAAUGUUUUAUGAAAUCUCCAGACUUAACCACCACAUCAUCAAUAUAAAUUUCCACCAAAGUGUCGAUGAAUUCAUGGAAGAUAAAAUUCAUGGCCCUUUGAUAAGUAGCAACAGCAUUUUUCAAACCAAAAGUCAUGACUAUCCAUUCAAAUAACCCAACAUGACCAGGACACCUAAAUGAAGUCUUGGGAAUAUCUUCUUCAGCCAUGAAUAUUUGAUUAUACCCUGCAUUGCCAUCCAUGAAGCUAAUAAUCCGAUGUUCGGCCGCAGCAUCAAUCAACAAAUCGGCAACUGGCAUUGGAUAACUAUCCAUCGGCGUAGCUUUGUUAACAUUUCUAAAGUCAAUGCACACACGAAGCUUUCCAUUCUUUUUGUAAACAGGAACAACAUUGGAAAUCCACUCAGCAUACCAACUGUCGGUGUUUUCCCCACGGGGGGUCACACCAACGAGUAAAUUUGUAUGCGUGCUCCCUUUCCCAGAUGGUGAUGCGAGAUGACACUGAGGUUUAUCCUGGUUCGGGCAAGAGAAAGCCCUACGUCCAGCGGGGGAGGAGAGUUUGUAUUAUCUCGCACCUAAGUGCUUGUACAGGGGUGAAUACAAGUGCGGUAUGAAGUGUGUGAGCUCUACUGCAUAUGAUCGUGGUGUUGUGCGUUCUAUUCCUGAGUUCCUCCUUUUAUAGCUCCAAGGAGAGACCCAGGGUACAUGUAUAGGCGCCAGAAUAAGAGUCGAUAGCAGCAUGGGGCGCUGACCUACUCGAGGCUUCCGUACCGGCAUGGCCUCGAGCCGUCCCGUCUUGAUAGCCUGGUGAUGAUUACGCGUGCCCCUGCAUUCUGCUCUGCGCGCCGUCUUGUGUUGGUUCAACGGUCGCACGCUUGUACGGUAUGGCGGCAGAUCCGGUGGGGUGGUUGUGGUGUUAUCAGUCGACGCCCAACUCGUCCCCAGGAUGGAACCCCGUUCGGUCGAGGGCCGGACGCCGUGUAAUGUGCCGAUGUCUGGAGCGCUGACCUUGGAUGUCUCGAGGGGGUCCCGAUUAGACGUUCCAUCCUUAUUUCCUGCGUCCUGACACGCCCUAGGUUGUUUGGUGGGAAAGCUGCAAAAAGAACGAUGGGACAGAUGCCUGUUCCCUAUCACGCCUCCCGUGACCUGUGUGUUAGGUGGGGAAGCGUCAGGCGCAUUUAAUGUCCCGGCUCUCGUGCGCGCGUCAGGCGGCAGACAGUGUCCUUGCGCUCGAUGCCUUCUGAUUCGCUUGAGCCUGUUUCCGUAUUCGAUGGUAGUCAGCACUCGACCCCCAAGUGGUUCGCUCGACGUUAUUUCCAUCUUCGAGGCUGCAGCCGUCGAUUGCUGCGCACAUGUGUGACCAGAACGUCGAGUUGAGGGCCUCGACUUGCGUAUGGAUAAUCUUGAUAGGUGCAUCGGUGAGGGUACCUCUUACUGAUACCCUCGACAGUAGCCCCCGAGUCUCCAUUCGAGCGCUGGCGCUCGAGUGGAGGCUUUACUUUUGCGGUCGAAUUUCUGUGGGGGCGCGCGAGCGACCCCGCGGGGGUAGCCCCCGAGCCCUCGAGGGAGUUUUUAACUCCUUCGAGGGUUAUUUUGCCUAAUUUGCAGAAACGCUGUCGACACCAGUGUUGGAAGGUUCUGAUCGGCUUUGCCUUGUGAGGAGGUCUCGACGUACUCUCGGUAGAGCGAGCGUCUUCCACCCCAGAUUGAGUUCCUAGCGGGUAAUCCAAGUGAGAACCUGUGCCCCUUUCGAGGAAGUCAGCUGUAGCCCGGAGGCGUUCUCAUAAAGCAGGGUCGACGUGGUCGGGGAUACCGGUCUCAUUCGAUAGAGUCCAGCGGCUCGAUGCCUCCCGUCGGGCGGAUUCCUCUCGACUGUCUCGACCCUACCUUGGACAUCACCAGCGAGUCUUCGAGGCGGGCCUCGAUCUUCGACUGCUCGCUGGGGAUCCCUGACUCUGGUGCUCGAGAUCGGCUGUCGAACCCUUUCGGUGGGCCAGCCAUCGACCUCUCGAGACUCUCGCGGGUACGCCCCUUGGCCUACAAGGGAAGGAGGUGGCCGUGGCGGUUCGCCUUUUUUGCCCGUUGGGCGCGCCUUUUCAGGUGGGUGACGUUACAACACUGCGUCGGCGUGGAAUUCGGAGCGCCCCGCCUGUGAGGGGAAAGAGAUUGUUAGGUGGCGCAUUUAUGGGGGGAGUUACCUUAUUUCUCGGAUCCGUCCGUUGGUGGAUUGCUGCCUAUAAAUACGCCGUGGCGCCACCGCCGUUCUUUCUUCCGCCUCCUAUCUUCACUCUUGCCUUAGCCUUUUUGCCGUCUUAGCUUUCUCGCCGUCUCACACGCCCACGCCUCCUCGAGCAGUAGCGGAUCCACCGUCCUUCCAGCCGAGAUGCCUGUGAGACUCGUUGCCGCCGACGACUGGUGCCCGUCGUCGAUGACGGAGCGCCGGUUGUUAGAGCUUGAGAGAGAGGGACUGCUGCGCCGCCGCACCUCGCUAUCGUCGCCCGAGUGGAUCGCGCCGCCGGCGAACCACAGGGAGCCCCAACCGCCCGAGGGCUACGUGGUGUCAUUCGCCAAAUUCCACCUCCACGGCCUGGGUGCUCCUCCGAGCCGCUUUAUGCGGGCACUUUGCUUCCACUACGGGGUGGAGCUCCAACACUUCUCCCCGAAUGCCAUCACCGUCACGGCGGUCUUCGCCACCGUGUGUGAGGGCUACUUGGGGAUGAUGCCGCACUGGGAGCUGUGGCUCCACCUCUACAGGGGCGAACUUUUCCACACCCCCACCGGAACCACGGGCGUAAGGAAGCCCAUGCGGGCGGGAUGCCUCAAUCUUGUGCAGAAGACGGGGAAGACGGACAGGCCGCGGGAGUACAUCACGGUAGGGUUAUCGACCAACCACGCCGGCUGGGACUCUCAGUGGUUUUACCUACAGAACGACGACAACCUCCUGCCUUCCUACUCGGGUCGUCUGAUCAUGGAGCGUCCAGCGGACUAGACAUACGGCGUCGUCCAAGCUCACCAAUCUCGGCUCGACCCCCUCCUCGACGUCCUGAAGAAGCUUCGCCAGGAGGGUUUGACCGCCGCUCUCGUCCUCUCAACCGUCCAUCACCGGAGAGUUCUCCCAUUGAUGUCUCGACCGUUGAGGAUGGACGAGAUGGGACCUGGCGUCUCAUCUCGAGACCUCGAGGCGUGCCGGAUGUCCAACGAGGCUCCGGCGGACGACGAAGUCGCGGCCCGAGUCAGGGCUGCAAUUGCCGGUGAUUUUCAGCCGGAGCAUGUUAACGGCUUCCCCAUGAGGCCAGACGCAGGCUCGAUCGAUCUGGUAUGGUUUCUUCUCGCGCGCAGCCUCGAUUCUGGGUUUCCUUUCUUCCCCCCCUUUUUUUUCUAAGUCUACCUUUGUUUUGGCAGGGACGGAUUGAUGUCCGAUCCUCGAGGCCUUCAGUAAAGGAGGACGAGGUCGAUCGCGACAAGCGGCGCCAAUCUUCCGAAAAGCUAAAAUCCGCCAAGGACUCUGCAAAGAAGGGGGAGAAGAAGAAGAACCUCGACCGCCAAGCAUUAGAGGCGCGUCGAGCCAAAUCCAGGCAGAGGGGGGAGCCUGAGGAAGAAUCCCCCAACGACGACGAUGAUGACGACGAGGACAGCGACGACUCUGAGGGGAUGGCGUCACGCCUUGACCGAAUCCUCGAGGGUCCACCUCGAGGCGACGUCGAUGCCCCCCGGACGGAGACUCCAAAGGAGGGUCCGAGCGGUUCUCACCGCCCUCGGGCCGAUAUGCCUCCUGCGCCCAAGGCUGGUCAAGUCGCGCCGCGCCCUCCCCCGGCGCUCAGGGAAAGCGGUCAUGCUAGGCCCCAGGCGACGGGGCCACUGACUCGCGGUCGUGCCGCGGCCUCCGAGAAAGGAGAGGCCGGCCGCAGGAGCGCCAGUCCCAACGCCCGCCAGGCGGGAACUGUCGCGCCAAGGCCAGCGCCUGCCUUCGAGGGGCCUGGGGCCCUGACGUGGGGUGGCUCGAGGCCCGCCGGUCGGGGCGGCGGUAGGCGAGCUGUUCUCCCUGUGGGGUAAGCUUUUUCGACAUUGUGGCUUUUGUCUUCCUGCUCCUAUGCACUUUCUCAUAUGCCGAUCUUCUCCGGCGCUCAUCUGUUUCUUUUCUCAGGCUAAAGCGGACCCUCGAGCAGGCCCAGCCGUCCAUGGCAAAGAGGCUCAAAGCGGGAGCUGCCUCCAAGGAGCCAGGUUUGUGGUUUACUUUUGGGAUUUGUGAUGUUCUUGUGCUAGCCAUCGCAGUCACCGGCCUUUAUUUUUUGUUUUGCAGGCUCCUCCGACUCCCAACCUCCAGCCGGCGUUGAGAAUGCUCCGCCUCGUCCUGUGCCUACCCCGUCGCCGCCGACGUGUGGCGAGGCACCCCAGACGCAAGUGCCAGAGGGAGCCCCCGAGCCUCCUCUAUUGGGGGUCGAGGGGGAACCCAUCACCAUCAGCGAUACAUCUGAUGGUAACGAAGCGUCUGGGGUGCCCGCCCUAUGGAGGAGGAAACGUCGACCUCCCACGUCGCGGGACGGACUCCCUGGCCCGCUGGCCUUCGAGCCCUCGAAGAGUAGAAGGAGAAAGAGAAGGAGGGGGAGGAGCGGGAGCGUGAGGCGACGCGGCCGCCACAGGAGCAGGAGCAGCAAACGCCCGAGGGGCUUCAACAACAGUAGCAGCAGAGGGAACAACAGCAGCAGCAGGAGCAGGCGGGCCAAGAGGAAAGGCCGCUCGAGCCCCUACCUCAAGGUCUGGCCCAACCGGUGCCACCGGCGCCGCAAGAGCCCGGCGAUCAGGAGGAAGAUUUGCCGGUGUACGGCCCUCCCACCCCGGCGUGGCUCCUCCCGGGGGCGCCUACCGCGAUCCGGGCAGAGUCGGGGCGAGCGGAUGGAGUGGUGGCGCUCGCCUGUAUGAUGCGCACCCCCAUCGACCCCGAGUCCGAGAUCAAGAGGACGAUCUACGGCAUGGACGGGAUCGCCCCUAGGUUCCUUCGGGAGCGUCGAGCGUGGGAGGACCGCUUUCCCUCUGAGGAGGAUGAGAUCGGAUCACCCCUGGGUUCCUCCGGGAGCGUCGAGCGUGGGAGGACUGCUUUCCCUCCGAGGAGGAUGAGAUCGGGUCGUCAGGGAGCAAGGACGGUACCUGGAAGACGGUUGACGACGACGGGCGGUUCCCAUGCCUUGUCGACCUGUUCUUGCACCACGGGGGCUCCCUCGAGACCGUUGAGAACCUUAUCCGUGGUGUCAAGGCGCGGGCUGAUCGAGAGAUGGAGAACUGGUGCCCCGAUCGGAUUCGUAUCCGGGCUUCCACCGAUCCGUCCGAGCCCAACAUCUUCCUCGACGACAAGAAGGAGGCCGAGAAGUGGGAACAUGUCGAGGAGCUCCGCCUUUGGAUGAAGCACAUGGUGGGGCUCUUGUCGGACAUCAUCAACAACGGGCUCGGGCCUGCUUAUUUUGUAAGUGUCUUUCGAUCUUUGAUCUCCAUGGAGCCCUUUGGUUUUGUUCUCUAACUGUUCGUCCACCGGCUCGCAGGAUAUGAAGGAGACCUCCCGCAUCAAGUCGAGCUUCAUCCACGCCACGCGAGGCGGCUGGGAGCAGCUCCCCGUCCUCAAGGAUCAACUCCUCGAGUCGCAGGAGAAACUCCUCAAGGCUUAUAAAGACCUCAUAGCGCUCGAGGAGGAGAAGAAGGCGAGGGAGGCUGCCUUGGUAGAGGCUCAAGAGGCCUCGAAGAAGGCAGAGGAGGAGACGACGCUGCUGCGGGAGUGGGCUCUGACGGUCGAGGAGGCUGCAUCCAGAGCCCGGGAGGAGGCCCUGUCCUACAAGAACGUUAUUGCGGACCUGGACAAGGAGAAGGGCCUUCUCAAGACCGACCUAGACUCCCUCCGAGAGUCCUUCCAGAAGAUGAAGGUGGAGCACGUGAACGGCGAGAUCGCCAGGAGCGCCGCGGAGGACGCCAAGAAGAAGGCCCUAGAAGAUCUCGAGGCGGAGCGUGCUCAAUCCCGCAAGCUCUCUGACGACGUCGAACAUCUGAAGGGAGAACUGUUGGAGAAGAGUGGGGCCAUCGCUCAGGCUGGCAAGGUGAUCGAGGAUCUCCGCGUCGCCAACACCGAGCUGGCCUGUUCCAACAGAGAGAUCGAGAGGGCCAACACCAGAUUAGUCGGCGAAAACACGGCCCUGGAGGAGAGCGUCCGCGGUACGUUUCCUUUGUCGGGUUUCUUUUUCGAGGUGUGCUCAGUUUUUCCUAAAGUUUCUUGUAUUGGCGUUUGCAGGGCUUAAGGACGAACUCCUAGCCGACCAAGUCGAGGCCCGUAAUGCCAAGACCCAGCUCGAGGCUGAGGUUGCUUUGAACCGUCGAGUGCGGAUGGCGAUAAGCGACCUCUCGGCCUCCUGGGAGGUCGAGCCUAUGGAGGAGUCGAGGGAGGACGCUUGAGGCGACGCACUGGUCAACCAGCUGUGCUACUUAGGCGCGACGCUGAGAGAUCGAGUGCGGGACGCCCUCCACAUCGGGGUGAAGCGGGCGAUGGCAGUUGUCUGCCCGGGCUUCUCCUAUGACAUGGAGGUGGUGUCCCACGGCUUCGUCACCGACAUCUCCAUGACCGACGCGGAGAACGAAGAGAGGCUCCAUGCCUUGAUCGACGACGCGGAGGCUCCUGGGGAAAGGCUGGCUAAGCUUUUUGAGCCUGAGGUGCUUCCUCCUGAGACUGGCUCGGGCGCAGGCGAGGGUGGUGAGGAUCGUGCCAUGGACUGAGGCCUGCGAGCCUGCGCGGGGUGCCUGGGGCCCCUUGUAUAAUACUUUGUCAAUAUGCUUUUUGAAUGAUACAGUAUCUUUUUGUAAUUGCUAAAUGUUUAUUUGUCUUUCCGCUCGAGGUUCUUUUAUUUCUCUUUGCGCCUACGUUUGUAUUCCUUGUUCGAUCUUUCGUAAAAAACAAACUCGAUCGUCUCAAGGGUGAGGAAGUGAGUAGAGUUUCCGUAGCCCGGGGGCGUAGGAGUUCUCAGGCUCGUUGUCCCUCGACCUUUGAGGGGCUCGAGGUGCCUUAGCUACUCGAAUCGUGUAAGGUUUACUAAGUAGGAAGAGAAAAUUUCUUGGCUUUUUCGACGUAUGGGGGGGGGUCGUCCCCCUGGUAGCCCCCGAGGGGGUGUUGACUAUGAUAGGUCAUAGUCGGCGCCCCCUUCCAAUGUCGAGAUUAUGACUUGUAAAUCCUUGGUACAAAAAGAAAUUGCUCGAGGGAAAGACUUCAUUUAUUCAUGCAUUCGUUUACAGAGUCUUGGUACAAAAUGUACGUAGGAACGUAAGUUUUGAACUUUUAGGGGUAGAAUCAACGUAGUUGUUCGAUGUUCCAUGCGUUGGUGAAGACCGCCCCCUUCUCGUCCGCUAACUUGUACGUUCCUGGCUUCAAGACCUCGGCCACUACGUACGGGCCUUCCCAUGGUGGGGUCAGCUUGUGGCGUCCUUGAUUGCUCUGCCGUUGUCGUAGGACAAGGUCACCCACGUUUAAGUCCCUCUUUCGUACGUGUUUGUCAUGGUAGCGUCGAAGCUUCUGCUGGUAUCUGGCAGAGUUAAGGAGGGACAUGUCUCGAGCCUCCUCAAGCAGGUCGACAGCACUCUCUUGAGCUUCCUUAUUUGACUGCUUGUUGUAUGCCUUGAGUCGAGGAGAUCCAUACUCGAGGUCCGUUGGGAGCACGGCCUCAGAGCCAUAGACCAUGAAGAACAGGGUGUAUUUGGUGGCCCGGCUUGGCGUCGUCCUCAGACUCCAUAAGACCGAGGAAAGUUCCUUGACCCACUUCUUGCCGAAUUUCUUCAGGCGAUUGUAGAUCCUUGGUUUGAGCCCUUGCAAGAUCAUGUCGUUGGCACGCUCGACCUGGCCGUUAGUUCGAGGGUGAGCCACCGCAGACCAGUUCACACGGAUGUGAUGCUGAUCGCAGAAGUCCAAGAACUUUUUGCCAGUGAACUAGGUGCUGUUGUCGGUGAUGAUCACGUUAGGGAUUCCGAAUCGGUGUAUGAUGUCGGUGAAGAAGAGGACGGCUUGUUCGGAGCGGAUAUUGGUGAUGGGUCGAGCCUCGAUCCAUUUGGAGAAUUUGUCAACGGCCACGAGUAAGUGGGUGUAACCCCCUUUUGCCUUUUGUAGAGGUCCUACUAAAUCGAGUCCCCAUACCGCAAAUGGCCAGGUGAUGGGGAUCAUCUGAAGAGCGUGGGCGGGCAGAUGCGUCUGUUUGGCGUAGAACUGGCACCCAUGACAUGAAUGUACAAGCUCGAUGGCAUCUGUCACGGCCGUUGGCCAGUAGAAACCUUGUCGAAAGGCGUUCCCUAUGAGGGUCCGUGGAGCUGCAUGGUGGCCGCAAGCCCCCGAGUGUAUGUCCUCGAGGAGUUUUCGGCCUUCUUCUAUGGUGAUGCAACGCUGCAGGACCCCCGUCGGGCUUCGUCGGUAUAGCUCAUUGCCUUCGCCAUAAAUCACAUAUGACUUGGCCCGUCGAGCGAUACGGCGGGCCUCAGAUCGAUCUUCUGGCAGCUCGCAGCGGAUUAGGCAGUUGAGGAACGGUGUACGCCAGUCGAACGGUCGACCGGGUCGCUGCUCUACCUCCAUCACCUCUGCUGCCAUCAGUAGUGCAUCGACGGUGUCGGUUGGCUGGGCGGGAGCGGCAUCGACGCCAGCCCCCGAGCCCAAGUCGACGGAUGGCUCGUGAAGAUCUCUUGAGAACGCAUCAGGUGGCACCGUGCCUUGAGUCGAUGCGAUCUUGGCGAGCUCGUCGGCUGCCUCGUUGUAGCGUCGGGCGACAUGGACGAGCUCGAGACCAUGGAACUUGUCCUUGAGUCGACGAACUUCUUUGCAGUACGCCUCCAUUUUUGGGUCGUGGCAGCUCGAAGUCUUCAUCACCUGGUCGAUGACGAGUUGGGAGUCGCCUCGGACGUCGAGGCGUCGGACUCCUAGCUCGAUGGCAAUCUUGAGACCGUUGACGAGGGCCUCAUAUUCCGCGACGUUAUUAGAUGCGGCAAAAUGAAUCCUGAUAACAUACCUCAUAUGGGCGCCCAAGGGUGAGAUGAACAGCAGGCCGACCCCGGCCCCUAUUUUCAUGAGUGACCCAUCAAAAUACAUCGUCCACAGCUCCGCCUGGACCUGAGUCGGGGGAAGCUGGGAGUCUGUCCAUUCCGCGAUGAAGUCUACCAGGGCCUGCGACUUGGUAGCCUUGCGAAGCGCAUAAGUGAGCGUCUCACUCAUGAGCUCGACCGACCAUUUAGCUAUUCUUCCCGUGGCCUCCUUGCUCUGGAUUAUUUCGCCUAAAGGGAAGGACGAGACCACCGUGAUGGGGUGGUCGAAGAAUGUAGUGUUGCAGCUUACGGCGGGCAAGGAUUACGGCGUAGAUCAGCUUCUGGAUUUGGGGGUAACGUGCCUUGGUCUCCGAAAGCACUUCGCUGACGAAAUAGACUGGCCUCUGGACUGGUAGCGCAUGUCCCUCCUCCUGCCUUUCGACCACCACUGCUACGCUGACGACUUGGGUCGUCGACGCAACGUAGAGGAGCAGCGGUUCUGCAGGUUGAGGUGGGACCAGGACUGGUGCUGAGGUCAGCGUCUUCUUCAGCUUUUCGAGCGCUUCCUCGGCCUCGGGGGUCCAAGAAAAGCGCUCGGCCUUCUUCAGAAGUCGAUACAACGGCAACGCCUUUUCUCCUAGUCUUGAGAUGAAACGGCUCAGAGCCGCCAGGCAUCCCGUGACUCUUUGCACACCCUUGAUGUCCCGGAUCGGCCCCAUUCUUGUGAUGGCCGAGACUUUCUCGGGGUUGGCCUCGAUGCCGCGCUGCGAAACAAUGUAGCCCAAGAGCAUGGCUCGAGGCACGCCGAAAACGCAUUUCUCGGGAUUGAGCUUGAUUUGGUUGGCGCGUAAACAGCUAAAAGCGAUCUCGAGGUCCUGGAUCAGGUCCCCUCGCCGUUUUGACUUGACGACAAUGUCGUCGACAUAGGCCUCGACUGUCGACCCUAUGUGUCCACCAAAUACGUGGAGCAUGCAGUGUUGGUAUGUAGCUCCCGCGUUUCGAAGCCCAAAUGGCAUGGUUACAUAGCAAUACAUCCCAAAAGGUGUGAUGAAAGAGGUCGCGAGCUGGUCGGACUCUUUCAUUUUUAUUUGAUGGUAACCGGAAUACGCAUCAAGGAAAGAAAGGGUUUCACAUCCCGCAGUAGAAUCGACGAUCUGAUCAAUACGUGGUAAUGGAAAAGGAACUUUUGGACAUGCUUUAUUUAGACUUGUAUAAUCGACACACAUCCUCAUUUUCCCAUUCUUUUUCUUAACUAAUACAGGGUUUGCUAACCAGUCGGGAUGAUGAACCUCCUUGAUGAAUCCGGCCGUCAAAAGCUUGUGGAUUUCCUCGCCAAUGAUCUUGCACUUCUCCUCGUCGAAUCGGCGCAACGGCUGCUUCACUGGCUUGGAACCGGCUCGAAUAUCCAAGGAGUGCUCGGCGACUUCCCUCGGUAUGCCUGGCAGGUCUUGCUCAAGGAUUUGCUCAAGCAGGACGAGGCGCUCACAGUCUUCGUCGAGCUUCAUCUUGAGCUCUCGUAGCUGUGCAAGCUGCGUAGCUUUGUCUUCCUGUGGUGGGGGGUCGACCCGCCCGUCGUUCCCAGGCGUCCUGGGGUCUUCCCGUGCUGCAGGGGCUCGACCGCCCGCUGUAGCAUCCUGCGUCUCGUCGGUAGUUUCUACUGCCCCGUCGACGUGAUAGCAUUCCCUCGUUGGGUCGUAGCUAUCAGUCUCGGAGUCGGAGUCCGGCUCGGCGGCGUAGAAGCAUCCACGUCCCUCCUCCAGCAGCCGUUGCCUGAGUGAGGUGAUCGUGUAUCGCCCGGGGCCUAGGCGGCGGAGGCCUCGCACCUGGGAGAAAUCCGGCAGUUUGGACGUCGGUCGUAGUGUCUCAGGGUCACGUGGGAGGACCAUUGGUAUCUCCACGUACGUCUGAGCAUUUGGGCAUAUUGCUCUGGCGAGCGACGCCGCGGCGUUGUCCAAUCCGAAUGGCAGUGCCCUUCUUGGAGUGAACAACCCGUGUGGAAGUAGCUCAGUAGCGGUGGGGGAGGGCGCGUGAGACGCGUUGCCUCCCGUCGUCGCGUGAUGUUGAGCCGUCGUGCCCGCGGUUCUGGCACAUGGUGUUGCCGGCUCGCAGCCCACCUCCUGCCUCGCACGAGUUGCCGGUCGUGAUGAGGCAGAGGGGCGGCGGUGGUGCUGUCCGCGCCUCUUCUUGGGUGGGGAGGCGUGGUGGCGAGGGCGUCUUGGGGCCCUCAACCGAGCUGGUGCCACGCGGGCUCCUCCCGGUCCUUUGACUGAGAGCAAGAUCAUGCCGUAGCCGGAGCCCGUAGACAUGAACUCGAGACUCCCAAACCAAAUCACCGUGGAGCGCGGAAUCGGUGAGGCAAGAGCUGCCAUCUGGAAAGGAGAGGGAAACCGAUGAAAAAACACACAGGACCCCUACCUGGCGCGCCAACUGUCGGUGUUUUCCCCAUGGGGGGUCACACCAACGAGUAAAUUUGUAUGCGUGCUCCCUUUCCCAGAUGGUGAUGCGAGAUGACACAGAGGUUUAUCCUGGUUCGGGCAAGAGAAAGCCCUACGUCCAGCGGGGGAGGAGAGUUUGUAUUAUCUCGCACCUAAGUGCUUGUACAGGGGUGAAUACAAGUGUUGACGGUCCUUAAUGCUCAUAUUUAACCAUCAAUUAAUCAUAGAAAAGGAUCCAAAUGCAACCAACACCUAGACUUAGGGUUUUAUCUGACAGAAUUCCACAAGUUUUGGUGUUUGUCUAUUUCUGCAGGGGGUUAUCAGGAAAUUUGAAAGAAAGGCCCACACGUCGGGUUUACAUAGAGAUAUUAACGCGCCGCGCAAUUUUCUAUCAUCUAGAAGACUCCAGAAGCCACGGGACCGAAGCGGAAGCCGAGAGGCCUCAGGGACAGGGCGCCCGCCCUAGUCCUGAGGGCGCCCGCCCACCUCUUUCCACCAAUCAGGGUGAAGUUCGAGGAUCAUGCUCCACCGACCUAAUACUUCAAGGAAAACCACACGAUCAAUGUCGGUUUGAUCCGACGACCCAGAUUCACUUGAAGGGACUAUAAAACCAGACCCCCCUGGCCCCUGGAGAUCAUACCUCUUCUACAGAAUCAAAGUUAGGGUUUCAAUUCUUCAUCCAAGUAGAGAGGAUCCCUCUAGUUCUUCUAGUUCUACCUCUAGUUCAUCUAGAUCUAGUUCUAGUUCAUAUAGUUCUAGUUCUAGUUCUUCUAGUUCUAGUUCUAGUUAGUUCUAGUUGUAAUCUAGAAAAUAGGGAGAGAGAAGAGGAGAGCGGAGGAGGAGCCGGAUCUGUCGGAUCUUCCUUAACAUUAUACUUUUGCAGCAUCUGGUUCGUUCUUCAUCGUUCUCCAGGUUCUUCAAUUCAUAAUUCCUGAGUUCUUUAAUUACUUUUAUUUACAUUCAAGUUAUUUAUUGGAUUCCUGCUUGCAUCAAGUGCUCUAGUCUUUAUAACGCUAGAGUAGUAAUUAAUAGAUUACACGUGGUGUUUAGUCUUGCAAUUACCUGGAAUUGCACCCAAUCCUACGGAUUGUUGUGGUAGCCUUAGGGUAGUGACAGCCCUAACGGUCGACGUAUUCCACCACGUUCGGAUCGGUGUUUGUAGGACCGUAGUCGGAGCUUCCUAGCCCCCUUCUCAUCUCUUUCUGUGGUUAGUGUUCUGAUGUCCCGAAAUAGAUAAUCUUGAAGUAAUUCUUGAUUCUUAGAUCAAUUAGAGAACUCUCAGGAAACUUCCUCUCUUCCCACCAAAAAUAAUUAUAUAGUUAUCCUUGGGCGAUCUUGGAUCGUAAUUAGUACACUCACGUUCCCUGUGGAAAAUCGAUACUCUGGAAUACUCCCGGGUGAAGGCUACAUCGGUAUCCGUGCGCUUGCGGAUUUUUCUGUUUGCGUUUAAAAUACCCAACAAGCUUUCUGGCGUCGUUGCCGGGGAACGGUAGCUGUGCUAGUUUCGAACCAAGUCGUCCGUGUAUCCUUUUUCUUUUCCUUUUAUACCACACUCACCUUACCAUUUUCACCACACCACAUGGAUUUCACUCUAAGCAUUAAUGAGCAUGGAAUUUAUUUCAUAGCCACUUCACUUACUCCAUGCUCAUAUGCAACAUCUUCACAAUCCAUUGGUCUCUCCAAUAUCACCACAUUCAAGAUCUCCAACCCCCUCUUCCUUUCUAUUUAUAAAAACUUUAAAAGGGUGGUUGUCGAUGCAUAUGUCUAUAAUAUAUAUUGCAGAUCUCGUUGAGUUGAUCUUGAUAUAGGUCAGCGUUGGAGCGGAAACCACUUCGCAGACAUAAAUUAAUGGUUUCCCAAGGACAAGCUUAGUGUCCUAAAAUAAGCACUGAUCAGAUCGUAACAUGAGCUUUUAAUUAUUUGCAAUAUUACCUUGUGUGUUAAGCAUAUAAGGAUAAUUGUAAAAACAUUCCUUCGGGUAUUCUUGUCACUAACCUUUCUAGGAUUGGAGCAAGAAGAUCGAAUGAAUGACAAGCACAAGGUAUGUCCAACCAAUCAUCAUACAACAUUGAAUUAAAUUCAUCCAAACUUGAAUUUUGCAAAAUUCAAGCUUGGGGGAGUACUUUACAUAAAAACAUCCUUUGCCAUGUUGCUAUGUUGGUUGUCCCUACCUUUGAGACAUGCUCAAUUUGUUAAAUACUAGUCACACUACUUCAUCUCCACUUGAGUAGAUCUCUAUAAAUGCUUUCAUGCUACCUUUAUUUGCUUUAGUAUAUGUCUAGGUUUGGAGUAGUUUCAUUUAUCUCUUAAUUAAGCAAGGUGCUUAGUUUAGGAAAGAUGAUCUUACUUCCAAAGGAUUUUAAAUUAAGCAUGAUGCUUAGGUUAAAAUUCCCUCCUAAAUCAAAUUAGACAUGGUGUCUAGGUUGAUCUUUGAGCCGAUAGUAUGCUAUAGUAGAUAUUGGAUAUUUUGUUGGACUAACCCCUACAGGAAAACUUUCAAUAUCGACCUGGGAAGUCCUGAGAUAAACUCACAUUGGAGAUAAAGAGAGAGACACAUGAAGUUUAACAAUUUACACAAGGAAGGCACAAGAGAUGAUCGAUGGAGGGUGCCACAAACACGAUGCACAACCGCUAAGAGAGGAAAGCUUCCACAAGGUGAUAUUGUACCAUCACUCUUCAAGUAAGGUAACAUUUUAAGGUACUUGACUAUCACUUCUAUAAGCUUCUCCUUUGUUCUAGUGUUCACAUGAAUAAAAGAGACAAACAUGUAUGAUUUACAACUCUAGAUUAACCAACACAAUUGAUUCAAUAUGUUUAGUCCUUCCACCUUUGUGAUUCCACACUCCUAAUCAUAUUAGCUAAAAUGUUGCACACUCAAUCUUUGAAAGAUAUAAACAAAACAUAAAUAUAGAUAGAUUAUCUUUCCAUAAGGUUGAGCAAUCUGAUCUAACAAAUGUUUUAAAUGUUACACUCAUGGUCUUAUUAUCCAUCAACUUUGUCUUUCUCACUAUGCUUAAGGUUAGAGAGAACAAAUACACUUUUGGUUCUGUUGGUGUUUUCCACCAACAGGGCCCAUGCACUUGAUCUCUGCCUUGUCUCUAUGAGCAGGUACACUUUGAGCAAAAUAUGAAGGACUUUUAUAACUCCUAGACUCCACCAAGUGAAGAACCUAGAUCUACGAGCACAAACACACUGGAGAUACUAGACACUCAGGCAAUCACUGCCCUGAGAUGCUUGAGGAUGUAACUACUGGAGUAACCCUGUUGUGGAAGUAAUUACUGACCUUCUGCCGGUUAAGAGAUACAAUCCAGGACAUCCCGUCAUCCCGAUCUCCAUCGGCAUGGUGGACUUCCCAGAAGCACUCUGCGACUUUGGCUCUAGCGUCAACAUUAUGCCCAGGGUACUCUAAGAAAAAUUCUUUACACAUCCUUUAUCAGAAACAACCAUGGGUUUGCAGCUUGCAGACCGUACACUAAGUUUCCCAAAAGGAAUAUUGAAGAACCUCUGUAUACGAGUUGGUACCUUGUACGCCCCAGCAGACUUCAUGGUGAUAGAGACUGGUACUAAUGAGAGGGCACCCAUCCUAGGGAGGCCAUUCCUGAACACCUCAGGAGCUGUCAUCUACGCUAGUGCUGCCAAGAUCAGUUUCUACAUCAAGGGGAGGAAGGAGACGUUUUCCUUCAAGAACAAGACUACACAAAUCUUAGAGCAAUCCUGACAUGAAACAAGGAAAGGACCAACAGGAGGAACAAGAACAAGCAAAUGUGGACCGAGUCAGCUAAGAUGGUCACUGUAGUUCAAGGAGGUCAAGAUCAUCGACUUAAGUCACCAUUCCUGACCAAAAAGGAUGACCCAGCUCCUGCAUGGAGCCAUGCAUCUACAACCAAAAUACAUUCAGCUCCAGAUGAUUUGAAGGUUAUUAUCAUGGGAGAAGACGAGUACAAUCCACCCAUCAUCCUUGGAAGACCGUUCCUCAACACCGUUAAAGCAAUCAUCUACAUUGGAACCGGAGAAGUCCACAUGCACUUCCCCUCUGAGAAGGUACGCCACUAUUUUACUGACCCUAACCAUAUAGUUGAAGACUCUAAGCAGGUCAGGACAAGAAGAAGACGACGCAACCGCAAUCAGAGAAGGCAAAUCAUCAAGGACGGAUGGGUAGACUAUGAAGGAGAAGUUGUAAGGUCUGAAGACAUACAACUUGAAUAGAACUGUCCUGAGGAGACCGUAGCACCGAGUCAGGUGUGGAGAGAGAAGAUAGUUAUACAUGAAGACCAGGCGCUGCCGGAACCACCGACUACGCCAUCUAGCGAAUCCCAGGACGAAUGAGAAAACGGAGAGUCCCGUUCGGAGGAUUUAAAAACACCGAACGCCUUGCCAAGAGGUAAACUUAGUAGUUAUCUUUUCCUUUCAAUUAUUUUAAAAUAGUUUACUUAGUUAGUCAGGUUUAUAUCAUCUUGAAAAGAAAAUAAAAAUGUUAAAAAUAGUAAGCCCCAUGUGAGUAUGCUCAUGGCAUAAAACCCAUAAGUACAUUCACUGUGGUGGCAUAAAAAUAAAAUAAAUAUAUUCCUGUCCUAUAAAAAUGAAAAUAUAAAAAUAAAUUUAUGAUCCUACUAAAGAGAGUAACAUUUAUUGAGGAGGCUCAACAUGAUAAAGGCUAGGUAUUUACGCUAACCCUUAACCAGUUCCACAAAGCUUUGUUGUCUAUUUGAGCUCCACAGAAUUCAAGGAUCAAAGAAGACUACCAGACGGAGGACAUCCUACUCACUGUCAAGGUGCUGCCGACAUUCAAAUACACCUCCGCCACUUGCUAGCUACAUCAGAAGAAAUUAUGUCAAAAUCCAGCUUGGGGAAGAGCACCCUCAUUUAUCCAGCUAAGUAUUCUACUCACGUUUAUACUUUACUCUAAUAAUAAAAAGAUGCAUAAUCAUAAAAACCCAAAUAAAGAUUUUGUGCUUAUAUAUAUAUAUCUUUGCUUAGCUUGCUAAAUAAAUAAAUAAAUAAAGUUUGCUAUGAACCCUCAUGAUAAGCUCUCACAUGGAAAGAUGAAUAGUUGCUCUGCCAUGACUAGUUCUCAAAAUUGAAAUCUCUCUCAAGUUUAGGCAUCACUGUUAUUAAUUAAGAUUUGCUCUAAACCUAAACUUGUGGGAAGAGUACUUGAUCUAAAGUCUAAGUCGUUAACGGAUAUGAUAUGGGAAGGUUGAGCUGCUGUUUAUCUAUUCCUAGAGAUGCUAGAAUUUUGGAGAAUUUUAUCUUUGAAAAUCUUUAAAAUGUUGCAUGAUGAGUUCCUGUAUAAUGAGAGUUUAAAUUCCUACCAUAGCCAUAUAUACAUCCUUGCUAGACUUUGAGCCACACAUUUACUUUUUACUGCUUAUGAGCAUUGAGUGUGGUCAAGCUGUGUAGACCCUUAGGAGCUUGUCAUGUGGUUAAAAUCAAGAUUCACUUGCACGUUCACUCACACAUGCUACUUCUACUCCAGAAGUACCAUCCACAUAUAUCCAUCCAUUUCCAUCUCCAGAACCACCCAAAAAUAUUCUACUCCUAAUCCGGGAGAGAAUAGCCAAAAACAUUCUCCUAUUUCUGUUUUUCCCUGUGAAAAAAAAAUGCUCAAGUUAUCUUGGUUACUACCACUUGCUACAUUAUUUCAAGAGAUGAGUGCUCUAAAAAAAACAAAAAAAAAAGAGAAAAAAAAGAUACGAGGAAAUAAAAAGGGGCAAGUGCCCGGAACCUCGAAAGAAAAGAAAAAGUGAGACGAGAGGUAAAAAUGGACAAGUGUCCGACAGUAGAAUUAGGGGUACAAGAUACCCACUUGAGAGAAAAGAAAAAAAAAAUAUAGAGCAUCUCAUUCUCUUCAAAAAGUUUCAAAAGUGCAAGAAAGGUAUGUAUCCCCUCAAAAGAGCAUAAGUAGAAUUAGACUUUCACCAUUGUUAUCACCAUCAUCACCGUACACCAUUCAUUCGCCACACAUGCACAUCUUGAUUUGACUUAUUGACUUGUUCUUUUGGAUCCAUGGUUUGACUAUGCAAUAAAUGUCUUGUAAGUAUGUAUUAGCUGUCUCCCACCUAUGAGCUCCAGAUAUCAAAAGCCUUAUUAGAGUAGGGUGAGAGAGAAGGCAAUGUCACUAUGCCUUAUACCACAAAUACCACAUACUUUGAGAGAAGGCAUAUACCAUUACUACCUUGGUAAGGAUCCAGAAAUACCACAAAAGAGAGACUAGAGAGAGUCAUACAAGGAAUCUCUGAGUUUUAUUUGAAUAUCUGCAAAAACUCCAGAGCUAUAGUUAAUCGAAGAACAAGAGACAUGGUGUUUGACUAGACUGUUCUAUCUUUUAACUACUCAAGACAGAAGUGACGGUUACAAGUCCCAUGGUGAAAGGCAAAUGAGUAAGUUUUAAGUCUUAACAGUUUACUCUAACCAGAGAUGAGAUCUUGUUUAAACGCAUGUGUAUCUUUAAGUUAUGAAACCACUGCAGAAACUCUUGAGUUCAUCUUUGCUCAGGGACGAGCAAAGGUUAAGCUUGGGGGAGCUUGUUGACGGUCCUUAAUGCUCAUAUUUAACCAUCAAUUAAUCAUAGAAAAGGAUCCAAAUGCAACCAACACCUAGACUUAGGGUUUUAUCUGACAGAAUUCCACAAGUUUUGGUGUUUGUCUAUUUCUGCAGGGGGUUAUCAGGAAAUAUGAAAGAAAGGCCCACACGUCGGGUUUACAUAGAGAUAUUAACGUGCCGCACAAUUUUCUAUCAUCUAGAAGACUCCAGAAGCCACGGGACCGAAGCGGAAGCCGAGAGGCCUCAGGGACAGGGCGCCCGCCCUAGUCCUGAGGGCGCCCGCCCACCUCUUUCCACCAAUCAGGGUGAAGUUCGAGGAUCAUGCUCCACCGACCUAAUACUUCAAGGAAAACCACACGAUCAAUGUCGGUUUGAUCCGACGGCCCAGAUUCACUUGAAGGGACUAUAAAACCAGACCCCCUGGCCCCUGGAGAUCAUACCUCUUCUACAGAAUCAAAGUUAGGGUUUCAAUUCUUCAUCCAAGUAGAGAGGAUCCCUCUAGUUCUUCUAGUUCUACCUCUAGUUCAUCUAGAUCUAGUUCUAGUUCAUAUAGUUCUAGUUCUAGUUCUUCUAGUUCUAGUUCUAGUUAGUUCUAGUUGUAAUCUAGAAAAUAGGGAGAGAGAAGAGGAGAGCGGAGGAGGAGCCGGAUCUGUCGGAUCUUCCUUAACAUUAUACUUUUGCAGCAUCUGGUUCGUUCUUCAUCGUUCUCCAGGUUCUUCAAUUCAUAAUUCCUGAGUUCUUUAAUUACUUUUAUUUACAUUCAAGUUAUUUAUUGGAUUCCUGCUUGCAUCAAGUGCUCUAGUCUUUAUAACGCUAGAGUAGUAAUUAAUAGAUUAGACGUGGUGUUUAGUCUUGCAAUUACCUGGAAUUGCACCCAAUCCUGCGGAUUGUUGUGGUAGCCUUAGGGUAGUGACAGCCCUAACGGUCGACGUAUUCCACCACGUUCGGAUCGGUGUUUGUAGGACCGUAGUCGGAGCUUCCUAGCCCCCUUCUCAUCUCUUUCUGUGGUUAGUGUUCUGAUGUCCCGAAAUAGAUAAUCUUGAAGUAAUUCUUGAUUCUUAGAUCAAUUAGAGAACUCUCAGGAAACUUCCUCUCUUCCCACCAAAAAUAAUUAUAUAGUUAUCCUUGGGCGAUCUUGGAUCGUAAUUAGUACACUCACGUUCCCUGUGGAAAAUCGAUACUCUGGAAUACUCCCGGGUGAAGGCUACAUCGGUAUCCGUGCGCUUGCGGAUUUUUCUGUUUGCGUUUAAAAUACCCAACAACAAGUGCGGUAUGAAGUGUGUGAGCUCUACUGCGUAUGAUCAUGGUGUUGUGCAUUCUAUUCCUGAGUCCCUCCUUUUAUAGCUCCAAGGAGAGACCCAGGGUACAUGUAUAGGCGCCAGAAUAAGAAUCGAUAGCAGCAUGGGGCGCUGACCUACUCGAGGCUUCCGUACCGGCAUGGCCUCGAGCCGUCCCGUCUUGAUAGCCUGGUGAUGAUUACGCAUGCCCCUGCAUUCUGCUAUGCGCGCCGUCUUGUGUUGGCUCAACGGUCGCACGCUUGUACGGUAUGGCGGCAGAUCCGGCGGGGUGGUUGUGGUGUUAUCUGUCGACGCCCAAUUCGUCCCCAGGAUGGAACCCCGUUCGGUCGAGGGCCGGACGCGGUGUAAUGUGCCGAUGUCUGGAGCGCUGACCUUGGAUGUCUCGAGGGGGUCCCGAUUAGACGUUCCAUCCUUGUUUCCUGCGUCCUGACACGCCCUGGGUCGUUUGGUGGGAAAGCUGCAAACAGAACGAUGGGACAGAUGCCUUUCCCUAUCACGCCUCCCGUGACCUGUGUGUUAGGUGGGGAAGCGUCAGGCGCAUUUAAUGUCCCGGCUCUCGUGCGCGCGUCAGGCGGCGGACAGUGUCCUUGCGCUCGACGCCUUCUGAUUCGCUCGAGCCUAUUUCCGUAUUCGAUGGUAGUCAGCACUCAACCCCCAAGUGGUUCGCUCGACGUUAUUUCCGUCUUCGAGGCUGCAGCCGUCGAUUGCUGCGCACAUGUGUGACCAGAACGUCGAGUUGAGGGCCUCGACUUGCGUAUGGAUAAUCUUGCUAGGUGCAUCGGUGAGGGUACCCCUUACUGAUACCCUCGACACCAACACUGUCGAAUAAACUUAGCUUCGAUGAGUUUGGUUAUUUCAACCUUAAUAUCAGGAAGAAUAUUAGAGUUACAUCGACGCGCUGGUUGCUAAUAUGGCUGAAAUCGAGACUAAAUAGGCAACUGAUGCUCGACAAUCGAUCGGUCUAAUCUAGGCAUCUCGGUAUAAUCCCAAGCAAAGCAAUCUUUAUAUUCCUUCAAUAAAUCGAUUAAUUGCCGUUUACAUUCAGAAUCUAGCUUAGCACUAAUAAAAGUAGGUCUUGGUCUAUCACCACUUCCUAUAUCUACUUCUAUUAAAUCAUCAGUCGAUGUAAAUCCCUGUCCUAACUUUCCAUCAUCGGCGAACCUAUCCAUUAAAACUCUUCAUCAGAACCGACUGCUUGGAUCGGUGGAAUCUCAUAAUCGGCAACUUUGAGGAAAUCUUUCUCCUAAGCUUCUCCCGAUAUACAUCUAGUUCACUCAUAAGUAUCUGAUUCUGCAGAUGCAAUGUUAUAGGAAGAAUCUCCAAGAACAACUUCAAUUUUGUCGCCUACCCAUUGAACAAGGCAUUGAUGCAUUAUAGAAGGAAUGCAACAGUUGGCAUGAAUCCAAUCUCUCCCCAAUAGCAAAUUGUACGCACCUUUUCCAUUGAUGACAAAGAAAGUCGUCGGCAUGGUCUUGUUGCCGAUAGUCAAUUCAACGCACACAACCCCUUUAGCUGGAGACACAUUACCUUCAAAAUCUUUCAACAUCAUAUCGGUCUUGGUUAAAUCCUGAUCUCCUUUACCAAGCUUAUGAUACAUCACAUAAGGCAUAAUGCUCCAUCAAUAAGUAUUUUCAAAACUGGCUGCCCAUCAACUCUGGUUUUAACAAACAAAGCUUUAAGAUGUUGCCUUUCAUCAUCAGAAGAUUUCUCAAAAAUAGCUGUCAUUGGAUCAAGUGUCAGCUGAGCUAUUUGAUCAGGGAGACUAAUUUCUUCUUCAUCACUAUAGGGUGCAAGAAACUUCAUCGACAACAUGAACACCAUGUUGACAUCUGCCGAUGGUCCUUUCCCUUUGCGGUCUAACUGCUGCCGAUCUUCAGAUUUAGAAGAAUUUAACUCUCUGUAUAAAUCUUCCUGACGCUCCCGCUGCAUCCUCCUCCGCUGCGUCCUUGUCAAUCCAUCUAGACACCAUCGGGGAAGCUUUGUCCUCCAAACUGGCUGAUAACGAAUUUCCUUUGAUUCCACACAAUGAAUGUUUGAAUCUCUACAAAAUAUGAAUUCAUCGGGAACUCGUGCAUUUGCUAUUUCUUCAAGUUCUUCCUGAUUCCUUAGGAAAUGACCAACACGUUCACCAAGACUGUCAUGCACACUAAGCCUGCCCCCUAGCCGAUCGUGAACUGAUGUUCUCCCCCUGAUUGGCUCUGAAACGUCGAUCAUUGUUUUGGAAUCUCCGAUCUGACCGAUCGUACCGAUGAUAACCAUUGCACUCAGGACAGUCUCGAACAGUCGGCAAUUUGAUAUUUUGUUCCCAGCAAUGACAGUCUUCUCGUUGCUUCUCUUCUUGUUGAUGCCGAUACCGAUUCCAAUGAUCUUUAUACCGAUUCCAUUCUUCUCGUUGCUUCUCUUCUUGUUGAUGCCGAUACCGAUCCUCACACUGCUGCCAUGUUUCUCGAUGCCGCCUAUGAGUAAUUACAACAUCAAAGCAGGGAGAGCAUCCAGAGCUCCUAUCCUCCCUUACCAAACCUUUUCCUUUGGCAUCAUUAGUAGUUACUUGAUGCUAGGGAUCCACCGAUGCGUUCUUCUCAGCCGUCUCCGAUGUUAAGACUUUGGUCUUACCUUUGGCAUCUAACAUGUUUGUAGGGAAAGGAUGCUGAUCAAUCUUCAUCAGCUUCUAAGUUUUGGAACUAUCAAACUUGAUUCUUCUAGAUUCUAUAGCUGAUUGCAAUUGCUGCCUAAAUACUUUGCAUUCAUUGGUGCUAUGUGAGGUUGCAUUGCGCCAUUUGCAAUACAUGAUUUUCUUUAGCUCCUCUACCGAUGGAAUUACAUGAUUAGGUGACAAUUUAAUCUGUCCUUCUUGAAGCAAGAAAUCAAAUAUCCUAUCGGCUUUGGUGAUAUCGAAAGAAAUCUUUUCUGGUUCUUUCUGGCCAAAAGGACAAGACAUCGGCUUUUUGUUUUUUACCCACUCUACCAAGGCGAUGACUGGUUCUUCAUCAGAAUCAGAACUCCCUGCCUCAUCAACAAAUGAUUCUUUCUUAUUCUAAGCCUUUCUCGGUUCAAAAGACUUAAUAUCUUGAUCAGAAAUCCUUUGCACCGAAUGACUUAAACUUUCAAACUCUUGAGAAGCAUAUUUAUCUUUGAUGUGUGGCAACAAUCCCUGAAAAGCCAAAUCAGCUAACUGCCGAUCAUCCAGAACCAGACUAUAACAUUUGUUCUUUACAUCUCGCAGCCUCUGCACAAAGCUUUCCACCGAUUCAUCAUUACGUUGUCUCAAUCUUACUAAAUCGGUAAGCUUCUUCUCAUGAACUCCAUAAAAGAAGUAUUUAUGAAACUGCUUCUCUAGAUCGGCCAAAGUAAUGACUGAGUUUGGAGGCAAUGAAAUAAACCAGGUAAAAGCCGAUCCUGACAAAGAAGAUGAAAAUAAACAAACUCUCAAUUCAUCUCAGUUAGUAGUUUCUCCACAUUGAAUGAUAAACUGUUUGACGUGUUCCAUGGUCGAUGUAUCAUCUUGUCCAGAGAACUUAGUAAAAUCUAGCACCUUGUACCGAUUUGGGAGUGGAAUUAAAUCAUAGGCAGGAGGAUACGGUGUCCGAUAAGAAUAAGUGUUAACCUUGGGUUUUAUCCCAAACUGAUCCCUCAUAAACUCUGCUAUCUUAUCGUCCCAAUAGGCAUCGGCAUCUUGCCGAUGUACGGGUUGAGCUUCUGGCACUUGCUGAUAGGCUUCAAUGUGUCACUGGGGUACACGGUCUACAGGAAACAUCACAUUAGCCAUAGCUUGCUGCCCACCGAUCUGUUGAGCAAGAUUCAUUGGCUGAUUUGCCGGCAUCUGAUUCUGAAAACCAACCAGCAUUUGACCUUGUUGGAAUCCUCCAGCCUGAUGAUUCUGCUGUGUUGCAUGCGGGAAGAUUAACUGUCCUAUCCAACCACUGUUAGUGUUCAUUGGCCCAAAAUUUGCCGAUGGCUGGUAAUUGGUUGUCAUUGCUAGAUUAACAUAACCUGCCUGAGACAUCAACCUUUACUGUGUCAGCAAUGGAUUUGCCGAUGAAUUUGCAUUAGGCGUCUGGAAUGUGGGCGCCUAAAAAUUCCCCGUAACUAGCCUCGCAGUGGUUGUUGUAGAAUACUGAGGAAUUUGAGUCAUCGGCGAGACUGGAGGCACCGAUGUUAUGGGAGCUUUCCGUGCUAAGUGAGUUGCCUGAGAGGUUCCAGAACUAUUUGCAAAAAACUCUGGAGGCAUACCAUAUCCCCACCAGUUGGGAGGAACCUAGCAAUUCUGAAAUACAGACCCUGACAUUGCCGAUGCCGAUAGAUCUGUGUUGAGCUGAACCCGUCCCCCUGAGGUCAUUGGAUCAGAUCUCAUCGGUGUAGAUUGCUCAUUAGUUAAUCCCAAUGUGCUCGGAGGAGAAGUAGCUUUUGUACCCACAACGGCUAGAGGAGCCGAUGGAGCUGCGACCGAUGACAAUCCUAGGUGAUGAUUGGCCGGGCCAGCAUAAAGUGGUGGUGUCUGUCCUUCUUUAAAAGUUCGAACCACAACAAUGUAAACAGUAUUGGACAACACAUUGGAGUGAUUAAUCAAAGCAUGAUUAAUAGCAGUUGUUGGGCAUUCUUAACGUCAUUACCAAAAGUAGACUUAGUUUUCUAAUUAUGAUAACGGCGCCAAAAAUGCCGAACCUAUCCCUCAUGCCACUUAAGCCAAUUUGUCAUCCCUAGCAUGACAUGAGAGACGCGGUAUUGAAAUAUGCAAUUGCUCUUCUGAAUGAAUAAUAAAUGAGAUCUGCAAGCGCACAGAUUAAUACCGUAUGUAGCAUUUUAACUGGGAAGUAUUCUAGGUAUCGUUAUUUAUAUUUUUACCACUGGGAAGGGAUCGCUAAUCAUCAAUGUUGAUUAUGGAAUGGAAUAUAGAAUUGAGUAUAUAUCAUUGUAUUUGUAAUAGAGAGCAUUAUCUAUCUCUUUCAUACAGGGAUAAAUGUCACAUAAAAUAUAGAUAAAGUAUGAAUGGUGACAAAGAUAAUUAAUCUGAUCAGCAUAACUAGCGACAUAUAAUAAUGAUAAGCACCUCAAUAGAUAUUCUAGCAAGUCAUUAGCAUGGAAUUAGGAUGAACUACAAGAAUAUUUCCUAAGUUAUUCUUAACUAUAAAGUCUAGCAUAUCAUAGUUAGUGCAAUUAUACUUGGCAAUCAUUGCGAGACAGGACUACGCCCAUGCAUAGUGAUAUUAUCAAGGAAAAUGAGAAACAUAGCAAUCACUCCCCUAUAAUAAUGUUGUUCUGCCUGCCCUAUACAUGAGAGGGGGACUAUAUAAGAAUCAAAGGAGCUGUCACUACCACGAACUACCCUGCGAUCCCGCAUAUAGGGUACAAUCGUAGAUAAAUACGGUAUAGGCACCACGCCUACACAAUACUUAUCAUCUACCCACUAUACACAUGGAUAAACGCUAUACGAUCCUAAACAUGUAUAUAAUUCUAAUCUAACUAAGCCAAGCAUAUAACUAUGAUAAACUAAGAACAAUAUAAUUGCAAAUAUAAACAAGUAGAGCAAAGUCAUAAUCAAUAUAUUGAAGUAGAACAAAGUCAUAUCCAUAAUAUUGAAGAACAAUGAUGAACAAAUAAAGGACAGUAGAGGAAUUACCAAGAAUCCUCUUGACAGAUCUAGAAACCAAUCGAAGAUUGACUCCUUCUAGUUCUAAUCCUAUGUAGCUAUGCUAAACUAGAGAUCUAAUGAUGUGGUGGCUCUAGGGCUUGAUCAGAGGCUUCUUCUCUCGAGAUGGAUAAAUGAACUAGGGUUCAGAGGUCCUCUCCUCCAGGGGCCAGGGGGUCUGCUUAUAUAGUCCUUCCAAUUGAAUGUGGGCCGUCGGAUCAAACCGACAUUAAUCGCACGGUUUUCCUUAAUCCCUUAGGUCGUUGGAGCAUGAUCCGCGAGGCAGAGCCUGAUUGGCUCUCAGGUCAGGGCGGGCGCCCAAGGGAGGAGGGCGGGCGCCCUGCCCCCGGGUCCGCUCGGUCUCCCGCUCAUUCCCGUUGCUUCUGAACUCUUCUAGAUGUUAGAUAAUUGCGCCGCACGUUAAUAUCUCUAUGUAAACCCGACGUGUGGGCCUUUCCUCCAUAUUUCCUGAUAACCCCCUGCAGAAAUAGACAAACACCAAAACUCGUGGAAUUCUGUCAGAUAAAACACUAAGUCUAGGUGUCGGUUGCAUAUGGAUUCUUUUCUUUGUUUAUUUGUUGAUUAUAUUUGAUACUUAAGGACCGUCAACAAACUCCCCCAAGCAUACCUCUUGCUCGUCCCUGAGCAAGGAUAGACUCAGUGAUGGAUCAGAAGCUGCUGUAAUGCCUUUAAAAGUUGACGGUACACAUGCUUUCAAAUGAGGUCUCAUCUCUGAGUUAGAGUAAACUGUCAAGACUUAAAAUUUACUCAUUUUACCUUUUACCAUGGGACUUGUAACCGUCACUUCUGUCUUGAGGAGUUAAAAGAUAGAACGGUCUAGUCAAGCGCCAUGUAUCUUAUUCUUGAUCAGCUAUAGCUCUGGAGUUUUUGCAGAUUUUCAAAUAAAACUCAAAGAUUCCUUGUAUGACUCUCUCAGAUCUCUCUUUUGUGGUAUUUCUGGAUCCUUACCAAGGCAGUGAUGGUAUAUGCCUUCUCUCAAAGUAUGUAGUAUUUGUGGUAUGAAGCAUAGUAAACUUGCCUUCACUCUCACGCUACUUUAAUAAGACUUUUGAUAUCUGGAGCUCAUAGGUGGAAGAUAAAGUAUACAUACUUACAAGACAUUUAUUGCAUAGUCAAACCAUGGAUCCAGAGAAACAAGUCAAUAAGUCAAAUCAAGAUGUGCAUGUGUGGCGAAUGAAUGGUGUAUGGUGAUGAUGGUGAUAACAAUGGUGAAAGUCUAAUUCUACUUUUGCUCUUUUGAGGGGAUACAUACCUUUCUUGCUCUUUGAAACUUUUGAGGAGAAUGAGAUGCUCUACAUUUUCUUUUUCUUUCCUCUCAGGUGGGUACCUUGUACCCCUAAUUCUACUGUCGGACACUUGUCCAUUUUUACCUCUCGUCUUACUUUUUCUUUUCUUUCGAGGUUCCGGGCACUUGCCCCUUUUUAUUUCCUCGUAUCCUUUCUUUUUUUCUUUUUUUUAGAGCACUCAUCUCCUGAAAUAAUAUAGCAAGUGGUAGUAACCAAGAUAUCUUGAGCAUUUAUUUCAAAGGGAAAAACAGGAAUAGGAGAAUGUUUUUGGAUAUUCUCUCCCGGAUUAGGAGUAGAAUACUUUUGGGUGGUUCUAGAGAUGGAAAUGGGUGGAUAUAUGUGGACCGCAUGACAAGCUCCUAAGGGUCUACACAGCUUGACCACACUCAAUGCUCAUAAGUAGUAAAAAGUAAAUGUGUGGCUCAAAGUCUAGCAAGCAUGUAUAUAUGGUUGUGGUAGGAAUUUAAACUCUCAUCAUACAGGAACUCAUCAUGUGAUAUUUUAAAGAUUUUCAAAGAUAAAAUUCUCCAGAUUUCUAGCAUCUCUAUGAACAGAUAAACAGCAGCUCAACCUUCUCAUAUCAUAUCCGUUAACAACUUAGACUUUAGAUCAAGUUCUCUUCCCACAAGUUUAGGUUUAGAGCAAGAUUUAAAUUAUAACAGUUACGUCUAAACUAGAGAGAGAACUCAAAUUUGAAAAUUAGGCAAAGCAACUAUUCAUCAUAUCCAUGCUAGAGUUUUAUUAAGAUUUAGUUUAGCAUAGCCACUUAUUUAUUUAUUAAGCACACUAAGCAAAAUAUAUAUAUAAGCAAAAAAUCUUUAUUUGGUUUUUCAUGGUUAUGUAUAUUUUUUUAGUAUAGUAUAAGUAUAAAUAUAGACAGAAAUACUUAGCAGGAUAAAUCGGGGUGCUCUCCGCCAAGUUGGAUUUUGACGUAAUUUCUUCUGAUGUAGCUAGCAGGUGGUGGAGGUGUAUUUGAAAGUCGGCAGGACCCUGACAGCGAUUAGAUUGUCCUCCGUCUGCUAGUCUUCUUGAUUCUUGAAUUCUGUGGAGCUCAAAUAGACAACAAAGCUUUGUGGAACUGAUUAGGUGUUAGCAUAUAUAUCUCACCUUUAUCAUGUUGAGCCUCCUCAAUAAUUGCUACUUCCUUUGGUAGGAUCACAAUUUUAUUUUUAUAUUUUCAUUUUUUAUAGAAUAGAAGAAUAUUUUUAUUUUAUUAUUUUUUCUGCCACCACAGUGAAUGUACUUAUGGGUUUUAUGCCACUUGUAUACUCACAUGGGGCUUACUGGUUUUAACAUUUUUUUAUUUUUCUUUUUAAGAUGAUAUGAACCUAAUUAACUAAGUAAAAUAUUUUAAAUAAUUGAAUGGAAAAGGAUAACUACCAAGUUUACCUCUUGGCAAGGCGUUCGAUGUUUUUAAGUCCUCCGAACGGGACUCUCCGUUUUCUCAGUCGUCCUGGGAUUCGUUGGAUGGCAUAGUUGGUGGUUCCGGCGGCGCCUCCUCUCCAUGUAUAACUAUCUUCUCUCUCCACACCUGACUCGGUGCUAUGGUCUCCUUAGGAUAGUUCUGUUCAAGCUGUAUGUCUUCAGACCUUACCACUUCUUCGUAGUCUGCCCAUCCGUCCUUGAUGAUUUGCCUCCUAUGGUUGCGGUUGCGUCGUCUUCUUCUUGUACUGACCUGCUUAGAUUCUUCAACUAUAUAGUUAGGGUUAGUAAAAUAGCGGCAUACUUCUCAGAGGGAAAGUGCAUGUGGACUUCUCCGGUUCCAAUGUAGAUGAUUGCUUCAACGGUGCUGAGGAACGGUCUCCCAAGGAUGAUGGGUGGAUCGUACUCGUCUUCUCCUAUGUCAAUAACCUGAAAGUCUGUAUGGAAAAAAUGAUCAUCUAUUUUAACAGGGACAUCAGUUACUAUACCUUCCACCUUUUGAAAUGUCUGAUCUGCCAUCUGGAGCUGAAUGUAUAUCGGUUUUAGAGGCACGGUUCCGAACAGGAGCUGAUAGGUGACUGCAGCCAUUAUGUUGACACCUGAUCCAGUGUCGCAAAGUGUCUUGUAGAAGUUGUACCCAUUGAUGGAGCAAUGGAUGCUUGGCAUACCUGGGUCAUCCUUCUUGGUCAGGAAUGGUGACUUAAGUCGACGAUCUUGACCUCCUUGAACUGCAGUAACCAUCUUAGCUGACUCGUUCCACACUUGCUUGUUCCUGUUCCUCCUGUUGGUCCUCUUCCUUGGUUCUUGUUGGGAUUGCUCUGGGAUUUGUGUAGUCUUGUUCUUGAAGGAAAACGUCUCCUUCCUUCCUUUGAUGUAGGAACUGAUCUUGGCAGCACUAGCAUAGAUGACAGCUCCCGAGGUGUUUAGGAAUAGCCUCCCUAAGAUGACGGGUGCUCUCUCAUCAUUACCGGUCUCUAUCACCUUGAAGUCUGCUGGGGCGUACAAGGUACCAACUCGGACGUAGAGGUUCUUCAGUAUUCCCUUCGGAAAACUUAACGUCCGAUCUGCAAGCUGCAGACACAUGGUUGUUUCUAGUAAAGGAUAUGUAAAGAAUUUUUCAUAGAGUACCCUGGGCAUAAUGUUGACACUAGAGCUAAAGUCGCAGAGUGCUUCUAGGAAGUCCACCAUGUCGAUGGAGAUGGGGAUGACGGGGCGUCCUGGAUCGCCUCUCUUGACCGGCAGAAGGUUAGUAGUUACUUCUGCAGCGGGGUUACUCCAGUAGUUACCUGUAUCAAACAUGUCUACAAGAUUUGCAGAUUCUAAUCCUUCCGGUUGUGAUGGUAUACCGGGGUUAGUAGCAGGAAUAGCAGCAGCUAGUUGAUUUAACUGAGAUUUAAUUAUUUUAUUAAAGCUAAUUUGAUUCUUGAUGGUAGUAGAGAAAUUAUCCAUUCUAUUAUUUAUAUUUUCUAGCAUUUUAUCAUUAGAUGCCAAUUUCUUAGAUAGGUUAUCCAUUAGCUUUCCUUGAUUAGACACUAACUCUCUCACAGGUGGAAAAUUAUUAUUAUUAUUGUAAGAAUUGUUACCUUGAUAAUUACCUGAGUAGUUAGGCCUCUUUUGAUUCCAACCUUGAUUUUGUUGAGGACAGUUGUAGUAGUAGUUGUUGUUGUUAUU
Molecule: long non-coding RNA, 40077 nt
Filed under: Sorghum bicolor (sorghum)
Lineage: Eukaryota; Viridiplantae; Streptophyta; Magnoliopsida; Poales; Poaceae
Description: long non-coding RNA (SBIC_LNC002796)
Source: RNAcentral